Molecule: small nuclear RNA, 185 nt
Organism: Myotis myotis
Lineage: Eukaryota; Metazoa; Chordata; Mammalia; Chiroptera; Vespertilionidae
Product: U2 spliceosomal RNA
Exons: 1
Source: RefSeq, a predicted model, not a curated record
AUCGCUUCUCGGCCUUUUGGCUAAGAUCAAGUGUAGUAUCUGUUCUUAUCAGUCUAUAUAGUCUUUCCAGUCUUUAGUGACUGAACCAUGGGGAAACCCUGAACCAUCUGUUUGAGAGCUGAGCCAGGCCCUUCUGCAUGGCUCCCUGAUCUCUGGACUCCACUUUGUCUGCUUAUCAUAUCCAA